This 227-nucleotide RNase MRP RNA is filed under the name Vigna radiata var. radiata (mung bean). RNAcentral's name for it is "SRP RNA RNase_MRP". It matches the Rfam family "RNase MRP". From Rfam's summary of the family: RNase MRP is an enzymatically active ribonucleoprotein with two distinct roles in eukaryotes. In mitochondria it plays a direct role in the initiation of mitochondrial DNA replication. Lineage: Eukaryota; Viridiplantae; Streptophyta; Magnoliopsida; Fabales; Fabaceae. The record is from Rfam by way of RNAcentral.
UGGAUUAGGGGAGAUGUGACUGGGCCUAUGCUUAUAGCUGGGCUUAGGAAAGUCCCCGGGCCCAUACUGCAGAAAUGCAGGCCCUGCAAGGGGUCACUACGAGCUGAACUUGCGGCUGAGACAUGUGUGGAGCCUAUGCUUGUUCUGCCGUAGUAAUUGGCCAAUUUCUCACAGUCAUCCACAUGGUCACCAUGACUAACAGAACGGGGCUUACUCCCUCCUAAUCC